RNAcentral lists this ribosomal RNA (236 nucleotides) under uncultured bacterium. RNAcentral describes it as "partial 16S ribosomal RNA". It matches the Rfam family "Bacterial small subunit ribosomal RNA", at positions 118 to 351 of the family's 1533-position model. The record is from RNAcentral.
UGAGGAACAUGACUUUCGGCGGGGGGAUAGCCGGCCCAACGGCCGGGUAAUACCGCGUACGACCUUUUGGGGACAUCCCCGAUUGGUGAAAGCAGCAAUGCGCCGAAAGAGUGCCUCGCGGCCUAUCAGCUAGUUGGUGGGGUAACGGCUCACCAAGGCGACGACGGGUAGCCGGCUUGAGAUGGCGAUCGGCCACACUGGGACUGAGACACGGUCCAGACUCCUACGGGAGGCAG